UACAGAGGGGGCGAGCGUUGUUCGGAUUUACUGGGCGUAAAGGGCGCGUAGGCGGCGCAAGAAGUCAGGCGUGAAAGCCCCGGGCUCAACCUGGGAAUUGCGCUUGGGACUGUUGUGCUUGAGUUCGGGAGAGGAGAGUGGAAUUCCCAGUGUAGAGGUGAAAUUCGUAGAUAUUGGGAAGAACACCGGUGGCGAAGGCGGCUCUCUGGACCGAGACUGACGCUGAGGCGCGAAAGCGUGGGGAGCAAACAGG
This 253-nucleotide ribosomal RNA is filed under the name uncultured bacterium. RNAcentral's name for it is "partial 16S ribosomal RNA". It matches the Rfam family "Bacterial small subunit ribosomal RNA", at positions 524 to 776 of the family's 1533-position model. The record is from RNAcentral.